RNAcentral lists this ribosomal RNA (496 nucleotides) under uncultured bacterium. RNAcentral describes it as "partial 16S ribosomal RNA". It matches the Rfam family "Bacterial small subunit ribosomal RNA", at positions 899 to 1397 of the family's 1533-position model. The record is from RNAcentral.
ACUCAAAUGAAUAGACGGGGGCCCGCACAAGCGGUGGAGUAUGUGGUUUAAUUCGACGCAACGCGAAGAACCUUACCAGGGCUUAAACUGCAGGGUAAACCCUCCGAAAGGAGGGCUGCUUCGGCGAUCCUGUAGAGGUGCUGCAUGGCUGUCGUCAGCUCGUGUCGUGAGAUGUUGGGUUAAGUCCCGCAACGAGCGCAACCCUUGUCCUUAGUUACCAGCGCGUAAUGGCGGGGACUCUAAGGAGACUGCCGUCGUAAGACGGAGGAAGGUGGGGAUGACGUCAAGUCCUCAUGGCCCUUAUGUCCUGGGCUACACACGUACUACAAUGGCCGGUACAGCGAGCCGCAAGAACGCAAGUUCAAGCAAAUCUCGAAAAGCCGGCCCCAGUUCAGAUCGCAGUCUGCAACUCGACUGCGUGAAGGCGGAAUCGCUAGUAAUCGCCGAUCAGCACGCGGCGGUGAAUACGUUCCCGGGCCUUGUACACACCGCCCGU